CCCUACGGGGGGCAGCAGUGAGGAAUAUUGGUCAAUGGGCGAGAGCCUGAACCAGCCAAGUCGCGUGAAGGAUGACGGCCCUACGGGUUGUAAACUUCUUUUGUCAGGGAGCAAUUGAGUCCACGUGUGGGCUUAGCGAGAGUACCUGAAGAAAAAGCAUCGGCUAACUCCGUGCCAGCAGCCGCGGUAAUACGGAGGAUGCGAGCGUUAUCCGGAUUUAUUGGGUUUAAAGGGUGCGUAGGCGGGAUGCCAAGUCAGCGGUAAAAAUGCGGUGCUCAACGCCGUCGAGCCGUUGAAACUGGCGU
Molecule: ribosomal RNA, 305 nt
Filed under: uncultured bacterium
Lineage: Bacteria
Description: bacterial SSU rRNA
Rfam family: Bacterial small subunit ribosomal RNA
Source: RNAcentral